AGAGCGAACGCUGGCGGCAGGCUUAACACAUGCAAGUCGAACGGAUCCUUCGGGAUUAGUGGCGGACGGGUGAGUAACACGUGGGAACGUGCCUUUAGGUUCGGAACAACACAGGGAAACUUGUGCUAAUACCGGAUGUGCCCUUCGGGGGAAAGAUUUAUCGCCUUUAGAGCGGCCCGCGUCUGAUUAGCUUGUUGGUGAGGUAAAGGCUCACCAAGGCUACGAUCAGUAGCUGGUCUGAGAGGAUGGCCAGCCACAUUGGGACUGAGACACGGCCCAAACUCCUACGGGAGGCAGCAGUGGGGAAUCUUGCGCAAUGGGGAAACCCUGACGCAGCCAUGCCGCGUGGAUGAUGAAGGUCUUAGGAUUGUAAAAUCCUUUCAGCGGGGACGAUAAUGACGGUACCCGCAGAAGAAGCCCCGGCUAACUUCGUGCCAGCAGCCGC
Molecule: ribosomal RNA, 445 nt
Filed under: uncultured bacterium
Lineage: Bacteria
Description: SSU rRNA
Rfam family: Bacterial small subunit ribosomal RNA
Source: RNAcentral